AAAAAAAGUAAGAAGACAUUACAUUGCCUUAUUUUCUGCAGUAUUCCCUCUAAUUAUAUUUUGAAGUAUCAAUCCCCUUUCUUUAGAUACAUUUUCUUUUUAAAAAUUAAUCAUGUUUUUAAUUGGCAGAUAAUAUUUUAUGCAUUUACCAAAACAUGAUAUUUGAAGUAUAUAUAUACAUUGCAGAAUGACUAAUCUAGCUAAUUAGCAUAUGUAAUACAUAGUUAUCAUUUUUGUAGUGAGAGAUUUUACAUCCACUAUCAUAGCAAUUUUAGGAAUAUAAUAUAUUGUUAACUACAGUCACCAUAUUGUACAGUAGAUCUCUAGAAUGCAUUUCUCCUUAAAAUAUAUACAUAUAUAUUCAAUACAUACAGUUUAUCCAAUAUAUAUUUACAUAGAACAAAAACCCAUGAAAUAUAUAUGCAUAUUAAACAUGUAUUACAAUUCAUAACAUAUUUAUUAGGUAAUUAUUUCUAUUACAUAUCUGUUACAAUUACAUAAAAAUCCUGAAAUAAUUUAUACUUAUGGUAAAAAAAUGAGCAUGUGUUGUAGCAUUUAGACAGGUAUUUCUCAUAAAUAACAGAGUUACGAUAAUUGAAAAAGGUCCUCUCCCCCUUUUUUCUAAGGUAAAAAUUAACAGAAAUAAUUAAAUUCUUGAACUUUUUCCAGAAAGUUGUUUUACUGAAGAUAAAUGUCUAAUUCAAACUUAAGAAGCAUUUUUGUUAUUAUUAUUGUUGUUCUUGUUCAUAAUAGACUGAUGAUGAUUCUUGCAGAAAAAUGCAGAAUUUAAAGUUGUAAUUUAGUCACUGAAUCACUAGAUGGUAUACAGUUCCUUUAAGGAAAUAUGCAUCAGGAAAUAUGUGUAACAAUGAUUUUGUUGUGCAGUAGUUUUGUCAGCUCUAUUUAUUUAAUUAUAUUCAUUUUUGCCAAAAUUUAUAUGUUACUACUACAGAAUAUUUUUAUAAAGAUUCUAAAAACUUCUUGCUACUGAUAAUAAUAAAACAAUGAUUAUCUAGAUAUUUAAAGAUUAAAAUAUAUUAAUUUUUCAAUAUAUAGUUUAUUACCAGGUCUUUCUUGGUAUGUAAUGAAUAACAAUUAUAACUUUAAAGAUAUUUGUAAAAAUAUAAAGUUUAUAUUUACCAGUUCUUCAAAUACCACAGAAUAUUAGUAGAUUAAUAGUAAAAUCUGAUGUUUAAUCUAGUAAUAUUAUACUUUCAAUAAUAGGCAAUCUCUAUGCUAAAUACUUCCAAAUUAUAUUAAAAGUCCUAGACUAUUCAAAACUUCUUUACUAAACUGCAUUCAUUAAUAUUUUAAGCCUAAUAAGAUACUAGGGAAACUGGACAAUCAGUAAUGUCUGGGACUAUUGAAAAUCAAAAAGACUCUUAAUUGCUUAACUGGUCAUUGUUAAAUAUUUGAAAUAUAUUUCAAAUUAUAAACAAUAAAUUAUCUCUACAUUUUUAAGCAUGUUUCAAAAAUCUUUUGUAGAUAGAUGUCGAUAAUGCUAUUCUUGUUUAAUAUCUACAGUGCAGAUGUCUGUCAUUUUCAUAGAUUUUUUUUUUACUUUAAAUUUGUAGAAAAUGCCUUCCACAUGCAGAAAAAAAAAUGAUUUAUGGUUUAAUAUAGAAAGAAAACAUGUUGGCCGGGCGCGGUGGCUCACGCCUGUAAUCCCAGCACUUUGGGAGGCCGAGGCGGGUGGAUCACGAGGUCAGGAGAUCGAGACCAUCCUGGCUAACAUGGUGAAACCCCGUCUCUACUAAAAAAUACAAAAAGCUAGCCGGGUGAGGUGGCGGACGCCUGUAGUCUCAGCUACUCGGGAGGCUGAGGCAGGAGAAUGGUGUGAACCUGGGAGGCGGAGCUUGCAGUGAGCUGAAAUCCGGCCACUGCACUCCAGCCUGGGCCACAGAGCGAGAGUCCGUCACAAAAAAAAAAAAAAA
Macaca fascicularis (crab-eating macaque) is the source of this 1934-nucleotide long non-coding RNA. Lineage: Eukaryota; Metazoa; Chordata; Mammalia; Primates; Cercopithecidae. The record is from Ensembl.